AUUAAACAACCGCAUAGCCCGGAAAAAUGUGGUUAUUUACUCUGCCCUUGGUCUUCAGUCUUCACUCAUUAGCCGUGGCCCAAAGUCCCAAACCACUCAGUCACUCACUCACUUCAAGUCUCGUCGCUCUCUCUCCCCGAACAAAAUGGGGAUUUCAAGUGUUUGGUAAAUUUGUUAUUUGUCCACGGUUUUAAAGGUAUUCUUCUUAUUCUGAUAGAUCUGAUCUGUUGUUUUGAUUUGAUUUUGUUUCUGGCUUUCUGCAAUUAUAUUUAUAUUGGUAUUUUCGAUCAGGAAUUAAGUAAACCAAGAUUGUUCCUUUUCUUUUAUUCUUUAUUUUCGAGCUAUGUGUUACUGGCUUAAGCAUUCCUGCAACAAUUCUGGAUUUCAUUUUUAUUAAGUGAACUUUUGGGCAUGGAUGAAUUUGAUAUUCUCAGUGCUUUCACUUAUUAUUGAAAUCAUAGUAUCUACAAUGUACUAUGUAGUAUAAUACUAUGAUUUCAAUUUUCAACUAAUAAGUUCUUAGUCUUUCGCUCUUUACCUACAUCAUUAAUUUAUUAGCUUUUGCAACUCAUCUUCCUGAGCCUUUAGAUACUAUUAAAUCAUUGAUAUUCUUAAAACUGCCAACCAAAGUUUUGAUUUUUAUUAUGUUUUUCUUUAGAUAUUACUGUUGGUGAUGUUUUUGAGUAUGUAUGGAGGAACAUUUUUUUUUUUUUAACUAUAAUUAGGAUUCCAACUAUAGGAGUUUCACUGGUUAUGAUAUAAAUAGAAGACUGCGAAGCAGUGGGCACCGUUCGUGGAAUUGAAGAGAUCGAUUAGUGAAGAGAAGAACAAGAUAUAUGGAGAGAAGGAUAAGAAAAUGAAGAAAUUGAAUUGAAAUUAGAAUGAUUUCAGGAAAUUGAAAUUGGAGGAUGGAAGGAAGGAAAUUGAAGGAUACGGGAAGAAGAAGAAGAAGAAUAUGUGAAGGAGAUGAUAGAGAGGGAGAAGAAAUCGAAGGAAAUGAUAGCUAAAAGAAGGGAAGAUAGGAGAGAUUGAGGGAGGAAGAAGAAGAGCGGGGAAAAAAAAACAAGACAGACGGACAGACAUCAUUUAAGACAUUUUAUUUUUUACAUCCCAUCCCAAAAACCUCCCUAUGGUCGGUGGAUCAUGAACACAACUAGUAUGUAAGUACUAAAUCACAAUUCUCUCAUACAAACAGGGCUUAUUAGUGAGAAAUUACCAAGUUACAACUGUAGACUGCAUAAAGUUUUAAGAUUAUGAAAUCAGUUAGAGGUUGCUUUCACUUUAUAGAGCUGUAAGGAGGUUCAGUAUAUGGGUAUGGGAUCACUGCUCAUUGUGGAAGGGAAUAGUUAACUAUAAGAGAUUAGUUACCAAUCUCAGCUCGACUCGACUGCUCUUUUAUGUUAACGUUCCCAGAAGUCAGUUAAUAGUCUAGAAUGAAAAGGGGUGCAAGCAUGGGACUUCAAAUUUAGAAAUAGGUUUUUUGACAGGGAUCUAAAUACAAAAAGGUCACAGAGUUUAUGCAUGGUAUUAAGUUGAAUAUAACGUUGAUCAAAGGUGGACUACAAAUCUUUAUCCCUACUACUCUGAACGUUAUGUGCGAGGUUAUUGAAACAAGGAGUUGGGUGAACGAAAUUUCCUAGUUUCCCAUCAAAGGUGAACUUUGCUGUAAAUUUGGAUUUUGAUGUUGGGUAGAAGAUCCUGAUUACCUGCAAUAAUUUGCAGGAGGGGAUAUUCGUUAUGGCCAACAGAUGCACAUUAUCCAUAGGGAGCAGAAGCAAUUUCAUGCCUACUCCUGGACUGCAAUAUGGAUGAGUAGCCGAGUACGUGGACAGUACUUCUGCUCAUAGCAACUUGACUCGGACAAGCUGGAAUUUUUUUUACUGCCCACAAUAAACUAAGAGGAUAUCAUUGUAAUGUAGAUACUUUUGCUGGCUUGAGCUUAAAUUUUCUCAACGCCACUUAAUAUCCCCUUGAAGGCUUGACUACAAUAUAUUUUGUUAUUAAAUCUGAAUUGUUUUGUUUUUCUUGUUGGAUUGUUUUUUGUUUUCAGAAUGUAAAAUCCAUGAGCAAGCUUACAUCGGAUGAAGACAUAAAA
RNAcentral lists this long non-coding RNA (2095 nucleotides) under Aquilegia coerulea. RNAcentral describes it as "long non-coding RNA (ACOE_LNC001412)". Lineage: Eukaryota; Viridiplantae; Streptophyta; Magnoliopsida; Ranunculales; Ranunculaceae. The record is from RNAcentral.